This 765-nucleotide long non-coding RNA is filed under the name Mus musculus (house mouse). RNAcentral describes it as "long non-coding RNA chr2:39274105-39274870". Lineage: Eukaryota; Metazoa; Chordata; Mammalia; Rodentia; Muridae. The record is from RNAcentral.
GAUGAUCAGUAUGCUGACAUAGUGCAAAACCAGUACCUGCAGACAGCUGUGACAUUUCUGGCUCAUGAAGGCCCCUUCGGGAUACGCUAGCCUGCAUAUCCCUGUUCUCCUCUCUACUCACAGCUCUUAGAGUGUUUGUGAAGCACCAAGAGACUCCAAUUGUAAAGGCCAAUAGGUGGACUCUCAGCUAAAUUCUGCACAUCGCCUUGACAUUUUGUUUUCUCUGUCCCUUGCUCCAUAUUGGACACCCCAAGCAGUCACCUGUGCUAUGCAGCAGACCACAUUUGGAGUUCUACUCACUAUGGAUGUUCUAGAAUAUAUAGUUUUAGAAUCCUCCUGGUCCAGGAAGAAAAAUGAGUACUAUGAUGAUGUCAGAGCACCUAAAUUCAUUAAUCCUUCUAUUUUGAUUCUAGUUAUUCUCUGGAAUGUGGUUAGAAGCACUUCCUUCCUUUGUUAAUACAGAUGCACACACUGACCAUGGCCACAUCAUCACUGGAUGCAAGAAAGUCUCAGCCACUGCCUUCCUCUGUGUUCUUGAAGAUCUGGGCUCUCUAGCCCUUAGGAGCUGCACUGUGGUUUCAGUGUCAGAAGAUUACCUGACACUUAAAUGAAGCCAAGUUCCUGACCUUCAGUAUGCUGCUAUUAGUGCCAUGGUGACUUUUCUCUUUGUCUACCUUAGUACUCAGGGGCAAGUCACGAUGGCUGUCUUUUCCAUCUUGGCCUGUAAUGUAGACAUGCAUCUUUUUUUCCCCCAGAAUGCUACAU